UACGUAGGUCCCGAGCGUUGUCCGGAUUUAUUGGGCGUAAAGCGAGCGCAGGUGGUUUAUUAAGUCUGGUGUAAAAGGCAGUGGCUCAACCAUUGUAUGCAUUGGAAACUGGUAGACUUGAGUGCAGGAGAGGAGAGUGGAAUUCCAUGUGUAGCGGUGAAAUGCGUAGAUAUAUGGAGGAACACCGGUGGCGAAAGCGGCUCUCAGGCCUGUAACUGACACUGAGGUUCGAAAGCGUGGGUAGCAAACAGG
Molecule: ribosomal RNA, 252 nt
Filed under: uncultured bacterium
Lineage: Bacteria
Description: partial 16S ribosomal RNA
Rfam family: Bacterial small subunit ribosomal RNA
Source: RNAcentral